GACGAACCGUGCAAGCGUUGUUCGGAAUUACUGGGCGUAAAGGGCUCGUAGGCGGCCAACUAAGUCGGAUGUGAAAUCCCCAGGCUUAACCUGGGAACUGCAUCCGAUACUGGAUGGCUUGAAUCCGGGAGAGGGAUGCAGAAUUCCAGGUGUAGCGGUGAAAUGCGUAGAUAUCUGGAGGAAUACCGGUGGCGAAGGCGGCAUCCUGGACCGGCAUUGACGCUGAUGAGCGAAAGCUAGGGGAGCAAACGGG
RNAcentral lists this ribosomal RNA (253 nucleotides) under uncultured bacterium. RNAcentral's name for it is "partial 16S ribosomal RNA". It matches the Rfam family "Bacterial small subunit ribosomal RNA", at positions 524 to 776 of the family's 1533-position model. The record is from RNAcentral.